RNA transcript from Fragaria vesca subsp. vesca, 830 nucleotides. RefSeq lists it as uncharacterized. The record is from RefSeq and is a predicted model, not a curated record. Lineage: Eukaryota; Viridiplantae; Streptophyta; Magnoliopsida; Rosales; Rosaceae. The transcript is spliced from 2 exons.
GGGGGGAAUCAAAGAAAAAAAAAGAAAAGGGAGAUCAGUUCAGACCCAGAGCGGGUCUCUGCCGACCCGAAUAGCAACGACGGGCGACCCGGCUGCCGCUCCGUUCUCCGGCGACGGCGAGGAGAAAGAAAGGUGGCGACAUCUUUGUCUCGAUGUCCUGGUCUUCUCCAUGGCAUUUAUUUGCAGAGAUGAAGUCUAGUGAAGAAGAAUCGAAGAAGAAGAAGAAAGGCUGGGUUCGCCGGCCAACUUUGGAUUCCGGCCACGACGGCGGGCAUGGAUGGUGUGGGUAGCUUUGUCUCGGUCUCGUUGACGUUCCUAUGCCUUCAGCUUGCAGAGAUGAGGUCUGGUGAGUGAGAAUCGAGGCAGAGGAGUGGUUUGAGUUUUUCGGCGAGGGUUCGGUGUUUUCCGGCAAAGUUGUGUUCGACUCAGGUAUCAAUCUUCAUCUACUCGUUGAGCUCUUCCUUGCUGUGUACUUGAAUGCGAUUUUGGACUGUGUUUUGGAGAUUUUGGGUUUAGGCAGUCGGUGACCACCAUGUGUGGCCACCGUGUACGGCGGCGGCGGCAGUUUUGGGAGUGGGUUUCUAGCUUUCUUAAUAUAUUGAAUUGGUAGGUGUGAUUACAGGUGCUUGAAUUCUAGUUUGGUUGAGUUUUGGAGAAAGUUGGGUUUUUGGCAGAAUGAUUGAUGUGUGGUGGCUGCUAUGUUCGACGACGGAAGGGGUGGCAGUAAUUGUAGUUAUGAUUCUGGGUUUGGGUUGCUGUAUUGAGCUUGUAUAUGUGAUUUGAAGUUCUGGAUAUCUGAAAUUUGUAGGUGUUUGGUGAUGGGGGAUCUA